AUUGAACGCUGGCGGCAGGCCUAACACAUGCAAGUCGAGCGGAGCGGCCGACGGGCGAGUAAUGCCUAGGUAUCUGCCUGGUCGUGGGGGAUAACGUCCGCAAACGGGCGCUAAUACCGCAUACUUUCAGCUGAGCCUAGGUGGGAUUAGCUAGCUGGUGGGGUAAAGGCCUACCAAGGCGACGAUCCGUAACUGGUCUGCGUGGAUGAUCAGCCACACUGGAACUGAGACACGGUCCAGACUCCUACGGGAGGCAGCAGUGGGGAAUAUUGGACAAUGGGCGAAAGCCUGAUGCAGCCAUGCCGCGUGUGUGAAGAAGGUCUUCGGAUUGUAAAGCACUUUAAGUUGGGAGGCGUUACCAACAGAAUAAGCACCGGCUAACUUCGUGCCAGCAGCCGCGGUAAUUC
Molecule: ribosomal RNA, 407 nt
Filed under: uncultured bacterium
Lineage: Bacteria
Description: partial 16S ribosomal RNA
Rfam family: Bacterial small subunit ribosomal RNA
Source: RNAcentral